UACACAAAUUUUCCACUUAUAGUGUUCAAUCUAGCUUUUCUACAGAUUGAAGAUUAUAGAUAAAAUAUAUUGGAAUGGAGAUGAUUGAAAAUUACACCGUGCAGGCACAAGAAAAGAAGGAGUAAAGGAAUUGUGAGGUGAAUUAUUGUUUUUGGAAUAAAGGAAUAGAAAACA
This is a long non-coding RNA of Leptinotarsa decemlineata (Colorado potato beetle), 174 nucleotides long. The record is from RefSeq and is a predicted model, not a curated record. Lineage: Eukaryota; Metazoa; Arthropoda; Insecta; Coleoptera; Chrysomelidae.